This 468-nucleotide ribosomal RNA is filed under the name uncultured bacterium. RNAcentral's name for it is "partial 16S ribosomal RNA". It matches the Rfam family "Bacterial small subunit ribosomal RNA", at positions 28 to 507 of the family's 1533-position model. The record is from RNAcentral.
GACGAACGCUGGCGGCGUGCUUAACACAUGCAGGUCGAACGGAAAGGCCCUGCUUUUGUGGGGUGCUCGAGUGGCGAACGGGUGAGUAACACGUGAGUAACCUGCCCUUGACUUUGGGAUAACUUCAGGAAACUGGGGCUAAUACCGGAUAGGAGCUCCUGCUGCAUGGUGGGGGUUGGAAAGUUUCGGCGGUUGGGGCUGGACUCGCGGCUUAUCAGCUUGUUGGUGGGGUAGUGGCUUACCAAGGCUUUGACGGGUAGCCGGCCUGAGAGGGUGACCGGCCACAUUGGGACUGAGAUACGGCCCAGACUCCUACGGGAGGCAGCAGUGGGGAAUAUUGCACAAUGGGCGGAAGCCUGAUGCAGCAACGCCGCGUGCGGGAUGACGGCCUUCGGGUUGUAAACCGCUUUCGCCUGUGACGAAGCGUGAGUGACGGUAAUGGGUAAAGAAGCACCGGCUAACUACGUG